UGAGCAAUCUGCCCUUCUCAUCGGAAUAAGCGUUGGAAACGACGUCUAAUGCCGAAUACGACCUCCU
Molecule: ribosomal RNA, 67 nt
Filed under: uncultured bacterium
Lineage: Bacteria
Description: partial 16S ribosomal RNA
Source: RNAcentral